Molecule: long non-coding RNA, 2755 nt
Organism: Micropterus salmoides (largemouth bass)
Lineage: Eukaryota; Metazoa; Chordata; Actinopteri; Centrarchiformes; Centrarchidae
Exons: 2
Source: RefSeq, a predicted model, not a curated record
ACAUGAUGUAACAGGAAUAAAGUGUGUCGCAAUUCAGGAACAGGAUCUUCGACACAAAAAGUAAGUAACUUGUUUUAUCGUUGGCUUGUUAAUUGAUUCAGUCUGGAAAUGACAGAUUAGAAGGAUUAAAGAUGGAUCUCAGUCAGCACCUGAGGCAGGAAGCUGAUCAAACAGCUGAUGCAUGACCGUGGAGCUGGACAGUAAAGACUGAGCACGCUUUAGUUUCUUCACCCAAACAGAAACUCUGUCAGGCUGCAGAGAAAAACCGAUACAACACAUUCAGUUUAGAGAAGCCUUCCUGAAAAUGGAAUCGAGUGUACGAAGAAGAAGGUGGAGCAGGGAACAUCCACCUACUUUUUCUGACCUGCUGAAAAAACUUCCUAAAUAUGCAUCUUCAUUCAUCAAAGUGUUUCAGAGAAAGAAACAGAGGAUGAAACAGAUCGUCUGCGGGCUUCAAAAGAUUGCUGCUGAAGUUAAACAGAUGAAGGAGAAAUCAAAGAAGGUCAGAGUGACAGGUCUGGUGUUUGCAGCAGUUGGUGUUGUAGCAGCUGCAGCUCUGUUCGCUGGGAGCUUCACAAUAGUUGGAGCAGCAGCACUCUCUGUUGCUGCAGGGGCCACUGCUGUCAUUUUUACUAAAAAGCGGUUUACACGACAGAAAGAAAGUGGGAAAAAAGUGAAAGCAUUCCUGAAGAUUGUUGAGUUACUGAGGACUGAGCUGGAAGAAAUAAAGAAGGUGUGUGAAGAUCUGCAGAGAGAAUCAGUCGGAGCUGAACCAGGAAACACUGCGAGACUGAAAGAUGACAUUAACAAACUGUUGGAGGUUACUGCAAAACUCAAAACCUCGACAACUUCAGACUGUAUUACAGACGUAUCUGAUCAGUUUAAGAAAGCUUUUGGAGAGUUUGAAAAGAUGAGGAGAAAACUAAAAGACCUCAGAGAAAGGACAGACACUGAGAAAAUGGAACAAGAUUCUGAUUAAUGAAGACAGAGAAUGAUGUGUUUCAUCAAGUGUGAGGAGAAGUUAGUGAAGAUGGAGGAUCAGAGUCUCUACAAACGACUCAACUGUUACUGGGUUUUGUCUACUGACGGAGGUUAUGGAGAGAAAGUUGGAGGAAACUCUCACAAACUUGUAACUGACAGAAGAAACAGCUGAUGUCUUUGGAGGAGGUGAUGCUUUUUAGAGAGAGACAUUAAGGUUGUCUGCAAAAAUAAUAUAUUUUAUAAACUCUGCUUCUCCAUCGAAAGGUCCCUUUAACUUGAAUGUCACUGUGAUAUCUGACAUGUUUGACUGUUGGACUCUGGUUUAAUAUUUAAUCUCAGAUGUUGGAGUGUGUCACUGAAGUUUUUUUUAUGGAGGCUGUAAUUUUAUUGUUAUUGUACUGUUGUAUUGUCAUCCAGUUAUUAGUGCUGAUUAGAGUCAUGAGACAACUGCUGAUUCUGCGAACACAUUGAUCUGAAUACAUGCAGACUCAUUAAACUGCACAUUACACAGUUCUGAUUGACAUGGAUGAGAAUUUUUGAUGAAUUAUAGAAUAGGGACAGUGAGAAAAGUUCAAAAGAGAAAAGAAAGAUUGUCUAUUUUAAUCAUGAUAUCUGGACAAAGGGAGCUCCAGUCGUUUUGUUUCUUUUACUCCUAGUCUAAUCUGUGGUGCUUCAAGGAGUAUGUCCGGGCAUGGCUGGGGUGAUCAGGUUCACACCCAAAGUCAGCUGACUCACUACAGGCUUAAAAACUUGGAUCCAAGAACCCUGUACAGCAAAUAAAGUUAGGUUGGGUGUUUCCGGCCGGUACACACUGCUGUGGUUCAGAGAACUUUCUGAACUAGUUCCAAUAACAUCGUUCGCAUUGGUUACACACACCCACAUGGACAUGACUGAACUUUCUGAGGUCCCAGCUGAGUUGUGGGUGUGUCACAAAUUUGAUGUAGGACUGAUACGAGGUACCACACCUCUGGUAGUUCACACUAAAUCUGAGUUUUGUCCCUGUGUUUAAUAUUAUCUACUAAAAGAAAAGUGCUUGAAGGUGUUUUUUGAUUUACUGCUGCAUCAUAAAAAGAGUUUUGGGUCACCAUUCUGGAAUCAGACCAAUAACCAGUCUUCAGAGCAGUCAGAAAGGGUGUUAACCUAUGAAUUAUCACUAAUUAAGCAUUAUAAAUUACCAGCUUUAAGAUUAAAGGGCUGUUUGAGGGUUAAUACUUGGUUCAGGGUUCAGGUUAGAAUUAAGUUAAGGUUAGGGGUAGGGUAAGGGUUAAGGUUAGGCACCAAUAAACUGCUGCAACCUCAAGCUCCUGUCAAGCUGUUACCAUGGCAACGUGAGUAAUAUUACGUUUCUACAACAACACAGAUUUUUAGUGUUUAUUUUCUUGUUGAAAUGCAUCACGCUGCUGAAUCCCAUUUUACUACAUGAUGUGAACAUUUACAACGUGAGCAGAGUUAAGAGUGAAAUGUCCAGUUGUAGGGGUUGGAAUCUCAGGGUACCUCACGAUAUGAUACAAGAUACAUGGCUUACGAUAACGAUAAUAUCACAUAAUAAUCAAUAUAUCACUAGACAAUACUAAAAUGACACACCACGAUAAUUGUCUAACUAUGAAUACAAAAUGCCAGUGAAAAUGUUUUCUAUGUAUUUGCCGCACAUCCAAACAUAAAACAGUGUUACAAAACAGCCCAAUUCUGCAGCACACAUUUAAAAAAUACAAAUUGCUGUGUACCACCUAAGUCUAAUAUGUACAUCACAUUAUAAAGAUAACUGUUAAGUGAC